Molecule: long non-coding RNA, 469 nt
Organism: Passer domesticus (house sparrow)
Lineage: Eukaryota; Metazoa; Chordata; Aves; Passeriformes; Passeridae
Exons: 4
Source: RefSeq, a predicted model, not a curated record
GAGCUAGAUGAGAAAAAAGAUGCCACAUUCUCUAGGGAUUAUUAUUGUCCUUCACAACAUGGGACACUGAACGGUUGUGCAGUCAUAACACCAUCCCUUGCUUGCUUGUGAAGUCUAGGUUCAGGUUCUCCUUUCCCAGUGGUAAGAAAAGGUUGCCAGUUCCAUGACUUGCUCCUUCCCAGGCUUCGCAGGGACCAGAUGCUACAAGAGAGCUACGUGCCACAGACCUGGCCUUGAGUGGUUUCACCCUAGAAUCAGAACUUUGACAACCCUUCACCACACCACAGCAAAUGUUUUGGUAAAAAGAUCCACUGAAACAGAAGACAAAGAUUAGGCAACAUCCAGAGCUGCAACUACAGAACUUGCAGUCUUCCACCAUCAUGCUGCCCAGCCAAAAGCUGUGUCACAGCCAUCAUGGAAACAGGAGGAAAAUAAACAAGAAGCAGCACUCCAGCCCGCCAGAUCCAGC